Molecule: transfer RNA, 72 nt
Filed under: Borrelia recurrentis
Lineage: Bacteria; Pseudomonadati; Spirochaetota; Spirochaetia; Spirochaetales; Borreliaceae
Also listed under: 5 other names
Description: tRNA-Trp
Rfam family: tRNA
About the family: Transfer RNA (tRNA) molecules are approximately 80 nucleotides in length. Their secondary structure includes four short double-helical elements and three loops (D, anti-codon, and T loops).
Source: RNAcentral
AGGUCAGUAGUUCAAUGGUAGAACAGUGGUCUCCAAAACCACAUGUUGGGGGUUCGAUUCCCUUCUGACCUG